UGAAAAAACAUUCAAAGCGUUUGGUUUGCGUGUCUCGGUUUGGAGCAUGUUUGCGUCGCACGGUUUGUCAGCACACUGUUAAUGUGCACUAACCUCUAACUGC
Molecule: long non-coding RNA, 103 nt
Organism: Etheostoma cragini (Arkansas darter)
Lineage: Eukaryota; Metazoa; Chordata; Actinopteri; Perciformes; Percidae
Exons: 3
Source: RefSeq, a predicted model, not a curated record